Molecule: RNA transcript, 751 nt
Organism: Nelumbo nucifera (sacred lotus)
Lineage: Eukaryota; Viridiplantae; Streptophyta; Magnoliopsida; Proteales; Nelumbonaceae
Gene name: acyl carrier protein 2, mitochondrial-like
Source: RefSeq, a predicted model, not a curated record
CAAAUGCUGCUGGUCACCUCCUUGGGUGUCUGAGGCCGAGAAAGAGUUCUAGAGGAGUAGAAAGAUGCAGGUCAUACGUACUGACCUUCUGCUGCUGCUGCUGCUGCUGCUGCUUUCGUUUCUCUUUCCAUUCUAUCGCAUCGCAUCAAUGGCGUUUCUCCUGAAAUCUUGCUGAUCAGAAGAAAUCGAGGUUUUCCAGGGUACAUUGCAGGAUCUAGAGGUUUCUCUCAAUCCGCUGCUUGUUCUUCUCCUGGUACUUUCUUGGACAAGCAGGAGGUCACCACCCGUGUUGUGGAUCUUCUCAAAUCCAUCCCCUUCGUUGAUCCUGCCAAGGUGAACCCAACAGCAAAUUUCAAGGAUGACUUGCAGUUGGAUAUGUUAGAUAAUGUGGAGGUAAUGGUGGCAGUGGAAGAAGAAUUUGCUGUGGACAUCCCUGACAGUGAAGCCAACAAAUUCUCUUCAGCAGCUCAUCUCAUCGAAUACAUUGCAACCCACCCACAAGCCAAAUGAGGGUCCUGAUCUUUCGACGGUGAAGUCUUAAACAGUAUGUAAUAGGUGGGUUGUUCCAAUGGAAAGCCUUUUGCCUUUUUUAGAAACUUUCCUUUGAGCAAUUUUGCUUUGUUUUUUUUUUUUUUUAAAUUUUAUUGAGGCUCAUAGCUCCGAUUUUAAUAAAGUCUAGAAAUGAUGAUAUGUUUUGAUCCUUUGUAUGAGCAUGCCAUUUCAUUAAACCAAUGAUGUUCUUUUUCCAGGA